UGUAUUAUGUUUUUCUAUAUGAUAUAACAUGUUAAAAAUUUAUGUAAAUUUAUAUUUUUAGGGCUCGUUUGGAUCCCUGUAUAAGGGCUCCGUAUUGUAUUAAAUUAUAAGAAUACUAUGUUUGGGUGGGACCUUGUAUUGUAAUAGAUAUUACAACCCUAAUUUUUAAUACAAUCUAUCCUGUAUUAUUCUAUGCUGAAUAAAAACAAUGUAUAAGGCUGUAUUGUACUCUCCCUCUCACCCAAAUUCUUCAUUUUCCCGUUCAGCCAUCUUCGCUGAUUCUCUGGCCGAUUUGGCCUGCAUUUCUCGGUGAAGAGCAACUUCGUGUUCUUCGGCAGAUCGAUCUCUCAGAUUUAUUUCUCAGUGAAAAGCAACUUCAUCUUCUCUAGCAUAUUAAUGUCUCAUAUUCAUUUGACCAGGAGUGCCGUCCACUGCUAGCAGACGCUGCUCGAUUCUUCUCCGUACAACCCAGAAAGAGCUGAGGUUCUGCUAUUUUGCUCUAGGUGAGUUAUUAGUUUUUGGUAUUUGUAGUUUAUUCUACUUUUGAUAUUUCAUUGUAUUGAUUGUAAUGUUGUUGGGACUUGUUUCAAUUUUCUUCUGGUUUUCUCUUUGACCCAAAGCCAUAUUAUUAAUUAGCCAAGCUAAGCCUUGGUGUGUUUUUUAGGAAACUCCUCUGUUCUUUCUUUUCUUGUGUGUGUUUUUGUUUGUUAAAUAAAUUUGGAAUAUUGAGUCAGUCAACAGUUUGACAUAAUGAGUUGAAAUUGAAAACUUGAAACCUCGACCUCAAACUCAACUGCUCUUUCUUUUUUUUUCCUUAUCUUAAAGGGUUGAAUUGGGUGAGUUGGUGUUGUUCAACUUGAAGAAGAAGAAGUAGUAACACAUAAUAUACAUGUUGUUGUUGCUAACAUUGGGAGUCAGGAAGAAGUAGCUUUCCUGCAAUCUAAUAUAAAUGGUUUAGUUUUAUAAGCUCUACAUGCAUGUACUUAUUAUUACAGUGACCACUCUCAGUUGGGAAGAAGACUAGGUAGUGAAUAAGGUCAACUAAGAAGUAAGCUAUGCUAUAGUCAAGCACAAUGUUUUGUGAAUUGGUGUUUGGAGAGGCAAAAGAAGAAAGUGGCAUAUGGGAUUUGGCUAGUGCAUUUAGAGCUAAUAAAACAGCUGGUGUUCCAUGAGGCAGAGAGAUUACACAGCUUGUUGCUUCUGCAAUAUUUUUUGGACCCCAGUUGCGGCAAAGGACAAAGUAAGCAAUUAGAUAUAUGAGUAGAAAAAUGGUGAAGAAUGUGGCUAAUGUGGGGGUGAAUAUAUUUAGUGUCUGCAUUUAGAAACUCAACUCAAUAACUGAGAGGUAAGAGGUAAGAGCUAGUCCACACAUUGAGAACAAAUAUCAAAUGUUGAAGAAACAAUAUAGUAUAGUCUUCGACAUGCUCAACACUAGUGGCUUUUCUUGGAACGAUGUAAAAAAAUGUGUGCAGGUUGAUAGUGAUGAGGCUUGGUUGACUUAUACUCAGAAUAUUAAGGAUGCUAAGGGAUGGAGAAACAAACAUUUUCCUAUGUAUGAGAGACUAGCUAAUAUUUUUGGAAAAGAUAGAGCAACCGGAAAAGGAGCAGAAGCACCAGCAGACAUGGUUGAGAAUAUGAACUUAGAAGCUGAAGAAGAGACUGACGAUUCUAGGUCAGUGAAUCAGAAUCUUUAAUCACCUAGAGGUCGAAGAAAGAGAUCUAAAUCAGAUGAUGAUGGUGUUAGGUUUUAUGCCCUAAAUAAAACUCCAUUUCAAUGUAAUCUAUUUUAUUCAACAUCAAUAAAGAAACAUAAGUAUUUUUCAUUCA
This is a long non-coding RNA of Cannabis sativa, 1827 nucleotides long. RefSeq lists it as uncharacterized. The transcript has 3 exons. Lineage: Eukaryota; Viridiplantae; Streptophyta; Magnoliopsida; Rosales; Cannabaceae. The record is from RefSeq and is a predicted model, not a curated record.